CCCUUCGUGGUGCAACGGUUAGCACACUCGGCGCGUAUUCGAGAGGUCCAGGUUCGAGUCCCGGUGAGGGCA
This 72-nucleotide transfer RNA is filed under the name Stegodyphus mimosarum. It matches the Rfam family "tRNA". From Rfam's summary of the family: Transfer RNA (tRNA) molecules are approximately 80 nucleotides in length. Their secondary structure includes four short double-helical elements and three loops (D, anti-codon, and T loops). The record is from Rfam by way of RNAcentral. Lineage: Eukaryota; Metazoa; Arthropoda; Arachnida; Araneae; Eresidae.